GGGGAAUAUUGGACAAUGGGGGCAACCCUGAUCCAGCAAUACCGCGUGUGUGAAGAAGGCCUGAGGGUUGUAAAGCACUUUCAGUGGGGAGGAGGGAGUAUAGGUUAAGAGCUAAUACUUUGGACGUUACCCACAGAAGAAGCACCGGCUAACUCCGUGCCAGCAGCCGCGGUAAUACGGAGGGUGCAAGCGUUAAUCGGAAUUACUGGGCGUAAAGAGUGCGUAGGUGGUUGAAUAAGUUAUCUGUGAAAUCCCCGGGCUCAACCUGGGCAGGUCAGAUAAUACUGUUUAACUCGAGUGUGGGAGAGGGUAGUGGAAUUUCCGGUGUAGCGGUGAAAUGCGUAGAGAUCGGAAGGAACACCAGUGGCGAAGGCGGCUACCUGGCCUAACACUGACACUGAGGCACGAAAGCGUGGGGAGCAAAC
This 425-nucleotide ribosomal RNA is filed under the name uncultured bacterium. Its description in RNAcentral is "bacterial SSU rRNA". It matches the Rfam family "Bacterial small subunit ribosomal RNA", at positions 356 to 773 of the family's 1533-position model. The record is from RNAcentral.